GUCACUUUCAUGUAAACACUUUUAAAGAAAAAUAAAUAAAAACUAAUUAACAUCCAUAUUUAGGAUCUAAUUGCAGAGCAUGGAAGUAGUACAGAAACAGGGAAACCAGCUUCAAAUGUGGUCUUCAUUUCACUAAACUUUCAUUCACAUUACGUGUCCAACAGUCAUUCCUCAAUCAUAGUUAAGAAAGUACCUGGAAAUUGGGAAGGGACAAAGAAGAAAUGAGAUUCAGCAGGUCCAGCAGCAACAGUGCAACAAAUAAACCUCAAACUUAACCAAUUUUCAAUGAAAUCAAUUCAUAAACCAAUGAAACAAUAGCUUAACCACAGAAUCUACCCAGAAUUUUCUACAUGAACCAAAUUCAAGCCAUUUCACACACUCAAAUAUGAUCAAUUGUCAUUUGGGGAUGAGAAACUUCAAAUUCCAAAGUAGAAAUCUUAAUUGAACGGUAUUUUUUUUUCAAUUUUCAGCCGUUUUAUGAUUGUUUUGGAGUUUUUAGCUCCCAGCCCCCAUUACAAGGCAAGACUGAGAUGCCUUUAUAGGCAAACCAUAGUGCAACCAUCAGAUUUUUGUUUUGCAUUUUAGUCCCUGCUUAAUUUCCUACUUUUGCCUAUUUAAUCCUUUAUUUUAUGACUCGUUAGCCAAGUUAUGGUCUGAAAUUUAAUGACAGACCCCCCUACUAGAAGCUUCUUGGAGUUUCUUAGGUGUUUAAUGCAAGACUCUCUACCCAAAGACCCCAAAAUACCCUCCACGACCUUGCUUAUUAUCCUAAAAAUUAACUGGGUCAGCUGUCCUAGCUAAAACGGGUCAUAGACCCCAAAUUAAAUCCCUAUUUGGGAUGAUUUCUACAUACACAUCCAUUAAACUACUUAAAGGACCUAGAAUAGAGUUUGACUGCAUAAUUUCCACAUAAGAAAUCCAAAAUCAUUUUUCAGAAAUAACCAAAACAAGAACAAAAUUCACUCAACUAGACAUCAUUGUAAUUUAAUCGAAUCUGAGGCCUAAAUUUAUUAACUAAUGAUACAACGUAAUACUAAAAUUGAGACAAUAAUCAUGACAUGACCACAAUAGAAUUGAAUGAUAUACUAGAGAUGAACAAAUGACAGUUACCAAAUUGGAUAAAUCUUGACUCGAAUUUCGACUGAGUUGCCCGGAAAAAGAAUUAAAGGAGAGGAACAAACGCCGAAAUAUCAAGAUGCAUCAAACACAAGAAGAACAUACCUCAUAGCACUUGAAUUUUCUGACGUUGACACCAAAUAAUGUUAGCCUCUUGUUCUUUGUCAAGAACAAGUGGAUAACACUAUUUUGCGACAGAAUCAAUUCUAACACUCUAAGACGAUUGGAGUGGCACCUUGCAUGUUUGGAUUUGGACUUGGUUCCUAGAGAUUCUAAUUUAUAGAUUCAAUAUUCGAGGGAUUUAAGGAGGAUUUGAGGGAAGGUCAUUAGGGAUUCAGAAUAGGGAAGGCCUAGUGGUCACUUGGUGUUAUUUUGGGGUUGAACAGAAACGGCGGCGCCACCGGAGAAAUUGUGACGACGCUAGGGUUUAUGAUUUCAAAUCAAAAUUCAAAGGAUUUAGAUGGGUUUUAGGGGAAGCUGGUUAUGGCAUGGGUAUGAGGGUAAGGAGAUGAAUCAGUGCUAUAAAUUUGGUGGCUAUUGGGGACUCGCCGCCGCCGUGAGACGAUUUACAGCAAUGGCAGAUGGUGUCGUUACAAGGGUCUUCUGGUGAGGUG
This 1730-nucleotide long non-coding RNA is filed under the name Nicotiana benthamiana. RNAcentral's name for it is "long non-coding RNA (NBEN_LNC020229)". Lineage: Eukaryota; Viridiplantae; Streptophyta; Magnoliopsida; Solanales; Solanaceae. The record is from RNAcentral.